AGAGCGAACGCUGGCGGCGUGCUUAACACAUGCAAGUCGAACGCGCAGCAUUCUGUAGCAAUACAGGGUGUGGGCGCGUGGCGAACGGGUGCGUAACACGUGGAUAACCUUCCUUGAGGUGGGAAUAACCCAGUGAAAAUUGGGCUAAUACCGCAUAACAUCGCGAUGGCACAUGCUGAUGCGAUCAAAGGCGCAAGUCGCCACAAGAGGGAUCCGCGGCCGAUUAGCUUGUUGGCGAGGUAAUGGCUCACCAAGGCGACGACGGGUA
RNAcentral lists this ribosomal RNA (268 nucleotides) under uncultured bacterium. RNAcentral's name for it is "partial small subunit ribosomal RNA". It matches the Rfam family "Bacterial small subunit ribosomal RNA", at positions 26 to 285 of the family's 1533-position model. The record is from RNAcentral.